AUGGCCUGGGCCCCUCUGCUCCUCACGCUGCUCACGUACUGCUCUGGGGCCAGUUCGCAGCCCACACUGACCCAGCCGCCUUCGGACUCAGUGUCCUUGGGAAACACCGUGAAACUCUCCUGCACUCUGAGCAGUCAGCACAGCAGCUACAACGUUGGAUGGUACCAACAAAGAGAUGGCCAGGCCCCUCAGUUCCUUUGGUACGGCUCUAGUACCAAAGGAGACGGGGUCCCAGAUCGAUUCACUGUUUCCAGUUCCGGAGCCAUUCGCUAUUUAACCAUCACCAACGUCCAGCCAGAGGAUGAGGCCACUUAUUACUGUGGUGCAGAUUAUGGCAGUGGUAGCAGCUAUGGGUAACUCACCAUGACACAAUCAGAUGGGGAACUGAGACAAAAACCUCCCCUCACCCAGGCUGUGCACAACUGGGUCCCACGCUCUGUGCAGAGCUUUGCAUUUUACUUUCAACAAAUCAGCUGA
This is a non-coding RNA of Terrapene triunguis (Three-toed box turtle), 477 nucleotides long. The record is from the annotation of a RefSeq genome assembly. NCBI's taxonomy places the organism in Eukaryota, Metazoa, Chordata, Testudines, Emydidae.